Phragmites australis (common reed) is the source of this 1139-nucleotide long non-coding RNA. RefSeq lists it as uncharacterized. The transcript has 3 exons. NCBI's taxonomy places the organism in Eukaryota, Viridiplantae, Streptophyta, Magnoliopsida, Poales, Poaceae. The record is from RefSeq and is a predicted model, not a curated record.
UGCAAGGCCUGCGGUUAACUCCUCCUGCAGAUAGUCGAUAGAUUAGGGAUUCACCCUUCUCCACGCCGCCCGCCCCUCGCUUCCUAUCUGCGACACCAUCUUCCUCCCGUAGGCGCCGCGCUACCCCACAGCCAGGUCCUUCAGAUCUAGCGGCGUUGAGCACAGGGCAAGCGGCGGCAGGAUCUGAUGGACGUUGCCGUCGUUUCCCUCGUAGCAACCCUUCUCCAAUCAACGCCCCCCUGCGAUUCCCUCCACCCUGCCAGACGCAUGCACCUCGCCUUUGAACACGACCAUGCCUGAGGUAUUACCCCUCCCCUCCUCUACAUGUGCAUAUGGAUUGGUGAAUGAAUUUCGGAAAUCACAUUUGUUGCCACAAUUUCUGCCUUCUACGCGGUGGCCUGCAGAGACCCAAUCUAGCAUGACGACAGCCAUCCGUGAUGGCCUCCACGUCUGCUAUGUCGCACUCUGAUAGCAACAUGACGUUGUUCCCAUGCUCUUCAAGGUUACAUCCUUCCUCCCCUCCUCUGCUUGAUUUGUUUGAUUAGUACAAUAAUCUGCCUACCACCAACCUGUUCGUGAAAAUACUCAGCACAAAUGGACGAGAUUUAAGACCUGCCCACCACAUGUUCGAUAGAAUGCUUCUCUGAGUUAAAGUACGAGAACAUUGGACCGGAGACAUUCAGACAUUGUGUUGUUCUCCUUUCCAUACUACCAUUGUUAGUGAAGUAUAAGGAACCACUGUAAUUUUGGUGGAUCUUCAGUUUCAGAUGGGUCUGCAUGAAAAAAUGCCGAUGCUUAACAGAUCAAAGCUAUGGCUUGUAACAUUCUGCUUUGGGAAGAUGCCUUAUGUAAUGUAAAAUACAGGGAAAUGAUCAGAUGAUUGAUCAACACUUUAUGCACGGUUCAAAAGAUAGAGAUGCAGAUGGGUACCCGAAGAAGUCAGAUCUUGUUAAAUUAAAUAUGCUGUAUGGCUGAUGACAGCCGAAGAUCGACCAUGUUUUUUUUAUUGUUUUGGGGAAAAAGUAUGCAUUGUUUAGUGGAUGGUUUCAGCUCAGUCGGCUGAGCUAUGAUAACAAGUGUAUCAAUAUAUGUACAAUGUAUGAUACUAAAUUGUUAAUAAAAAUUCUUUUGAGAGCUCU